Molecule: ribosomal RNA, 472 nt
Filed under: uncultured bacterium
Lineage: Bacteria
Description: bacterial SSU rRNA
Rfam family: Bacterial small subunit ribosomal RNA
Source: RNAcentral
GAUGAACGCUGGCGGCGUGCUUAACACAUGCAAGUCGAACGAAGACAUCUGAGUGCUUGCACUUGGAUGGACUGAGUGGCGGACGGGUGAGUAACGCGUGGGUAACCUGCCUUAUACAGGGGGAUAACAGUUGGAAACGACUGCUAAUACCGCAUAAGCGCACGGUAUCGCAUGAUACAGUGUGAAAAACUCCGGUGGUAUAAGAUGGACCCGCGUCUGAUUAGCUUGUUGGUGAGGUAACGGCCCACCAAGGCGACGAUCAGUAGCCGGCCUGAGAGGGUGAACGGCCACAUUGGGACUGAGACACGGCCCAAACUCCUACGGGAGGCAGCAGUGGGGAAUAUUGGUCAAUGGGGGAAACCCGUGAUGCAGCGACGCCGCGUGAGUGAAGAAGUAUUCGGUAUGUAAAGACUCUAUCAGCAGGGAAGAAAAUAGACGGUACCUGACUAAGAAGACCCGGCUAACUAACGUG